Molecule: ribosomal RNA, 292 nt
Filed under: uncultured bacterium
Lineage: Bacteria
Description: partial 16S ribosomal RNA
Rfam family: Bacterial small subunit ribosomal RNA
Source: RNAcentral
GUGCCAGCCGCCGCGGUAAUACAGAGGGAGCAAGCGUUGUUCGGAAUCACUGGGCGUAAAGGGCGUGUAGGCGGUUUGGUAAGUGGAAUGUGAAAUCCCUCGGCUUACCCGAGGACCUGCAUCCCAUACUGCCAAGCUUGAGUACGGGAGAGGAUGAGGGAAUUCCUGGUGUAGCGGCGAAAUGCGUAGAUAUCAGGAGGAACACCGGUGGCGAAAGCGCUCAUCUGGCCCGAUACUGACGCUGAUGCGCGAAAGCUAGGGGAGCAAACGGGAUUAGAUACCCCUGUAGUCC